AGAGUACCGAAAGCGAAGCUGCCGCAACAAUCGCGGGUUUAUUGUUUUCCUUUGGGACGAAUGUCGCCCCACUUAAAGGGGGUGAUCUCGUUGGUGACU
Molecule: small RNA, 99 nt
Filed under: Sinorhizobium meliloti 2011
Lineage: Bacteria; Pseudomonadati; Pseudomonadota; Alphaproteobacteria; Hyphomicrobiales; Rhizobiaceae
Description: putative ncRNA
Source: RNAcentral